This 1521-nucleotide long non-coding RNA is filed under the name Homo sapiens (human). RNAcentral's name for it is "PREDICTED lncRNA (TCONS_00210562)". Lineage: Eukaryota; Metazoa; Chordata; Mammalia; Primates; Hominidae. The record is from RNAcentral.
CUGGGAAUCAAUGUGUGAGGUGGUGCUAUGUAGCAGGAACCCCUCUUGCUUUGCAAAUAGUUUUUUGUUUGUUUUCCUUUUUGCCCAAUAGAGCCCUGCUCUACUGACCCUUCAAUGUGCCCGUGUGCCUAAAUAUUCCUGGUCGUGUGAAAAGAACCCAGGUAUUAGCUGAACUAAGGAGCACAAUUCUGCAACAUUUUGGCACCCAAACACGGGGCUUGAGAAAUGAAUGCAAUUGGAGAAACUGGUUGUUUUACCAGGCGUUGAUUGGAAAUGUGUGCUUCCCUUUAAGCAGUCAAGCUCAACUUGCAGAACUGAUGGGAACCCCUUGGGAAAACUGGCCUCAAAUGUUUGUCUACACAGUCCACAUACAGGGUUCUUAACCUGCGUUUUUACCUACAUUUUAGACUGACCCUGCUUGUGCCUGUGAACCAACCAACAAUCUCUGGCUGCAGCUCAGAAAGGACAAAAGAGAAUGGAUGAGGGAAACUUCCCAGGGCUUGUCUGGGUAUGCCCACAGUGGACUGGAGCCCAAAAUGCACACUGGAGGAAGUGGAUGGAGCCACGUGGAUGUCAUGCCUUAUGCAGGGGAGGAGCCUGCUCUCUUCAGCUCCUGUGGUAAUGUGGGAAUCGAUCUGUGAGGAAACACUUUCUGAAAAUGUCAGAACUCUUGAAAACAUGGAUGAGGAAAAGCAUAAGUACUGCUUUAUGCUUUUCUUAUGAAUUUUAAAAGAUGUAAUUUAAAGAUUGAAACUCCCACAACUUUGGCAGACCAACUCCUCAGAAAACAUUAUUCUUUGACAUCAAUAUGUUUUGCACAAAAUUGAAUGGCAAGUGAAAGGCAUCAAAUGGAGCUGUCAUUUAAAUGUGCUUGCCAACUAGCUUGUUUAUCAAAACAUUCCAGACCCUUUCAAAUUCUCAUUUACAUUGUUUCUUGUUUACCACACCCAUAAAUUUGUAUUACCAGCAUAUUUAACUAUCCGGCUAUUUUGGAGAUUGAAAAAAGAAGACCUGAUUUAUCAUGUGCAAUAUCUCACACAUCUGUCAUUUCUAUUCUACCGCAAUUCGAUGGAGUCUUGUUCUGUGGUCCAGGCUAGAGGGCAGUGGCAUGAUCUCGGCUCACUACAAGCUCUGCCUCCCGGGUUCACGCCAUUCUCCUGCCUCAGCCUCCUGAGUAGCUGGGACUACAGGCGCCCGCCACCACGCCUGGCUAAUUUUUUGUAUAUUUACUAGAGAUGGCUAGUGUUAGCCAAGAUGGUCUCGAUCUCCUGACCUCGUGAUCUGCCCACCUCAGCCUGCCAAAGUGCUGGGAUUACUGGCGUGAGCCACCGUGCCUGGCCAGCAUCCUCUAAUUAUUAUUCAUAGUUUGUGAAUUUAGGCCUACGUGAAUAAUAAUAUAAUAUUUACUAUGAUGUUACUAUCUACCAACCUUAUUUUUCUUUUCUAUAAAAUAGGAGCCAAAAUAAUAUUUAUGUCAUACCUUAUGAAGUUAAAAUAAAAUAUAACGAAUGAGGGGCUUAA